GAUGAACGCUGGCGGCGUGCCUAACACAUGCAAGUCGAACGGAGUCCAGCCUUUAAGACCUUCGGGUCAAAGAGGGGAAGACUGAGUGGCGGACGGGUGAGUAACACGUGGGCAACCUGGCUCAUAGAGGGGGAUAACAGAGAGAAAUUUCUGCUAAUACCGCAUAAGCACACACUGCCGCAUGGCGGAGGGUGAAAAGAGAAUCGCUAUGAGAUGGACCCGCGUCUGAUUAGCCAGUUGGCAGGGUAAGAGCCUACCAAAGCGACGAUCAGUAGCCGAUCUGAGAGGAUGAACGGCCACAUUGGGACUGAGACACGGCCCAAACUCCUACGGGAGGCAGCAGUGGGGGAUAUUGCACAAUGGGGGGAACCCUGAUGCAGCGACGCCGCGUGAGUGAAGAAGUAUUUCGGUAUGUAAAGCUCUAUCAGCAGGGAAGAUAAUGACAGUACCUGAAUAAGAAGCCCCGGCUAACUACGUG
RNAcentral lists this ribosomal RNA (478 nucleotides) under uncultured bacterium. RNAcentral describes it as "partial 16S ribosomal RNA". It matches the Rfam family "Bacterial small subunit ribosomal RNA", at positions 28 to 507 of the family's 1533-position model. The record is from RNAcentral.